RNAcentral lists this ribosomal RNA (814 nucleotides) under Microbacteriaceae bacterium. Its description in RNAcentral is "bacterial SSU rRNA". It matches the Rfam family "Bacterial small subunit ribosomal RNA", at positions 37 to 859 of the family's 1533-position model. Lineage: Bacteria; Bacillati; Actinomycetota; Actinomycetes; Micrococcales; Microbacteriaceae. The record is from RNAcentral.
UGGCGGCGUGCUUAACACAUGCAAGUCGAACGAUGAAGCCCCGCUUGCGGGGUGGAUUAGUGGCGAACGGGUGAGUAACACGUGAGCAAUCUGCCCCUGACUCUGGGAUAAGCGUUGGAAACGACGUCUAAUACCGGAUAUGACGACUGGCCGCAUGGUCUGGUUGUGGAAAGAUUUUUCGGUUGGGGAUGAGCUCGCGGCCUAUCAGCUUGUUGGUGAGGUAAUGGCUCACCAAGGCGACGACGGGUAGCCGGCCUGAGAGGGUGACCGGCCACACUGGGACUGAGACACGGCCCAGACUCCUACGGGAGGCAGCAGUGGGGAAUAUUGCACAAUGGGCGCAAGCCUGAUGCAGCAACGCCGCGUGAGGGAUGACGGCCUUCGGGUUGUAAACCUCUUUUGUCUAGGAAGAAGCCGCAAGGUGACGGUACUGGGAGAAAAAGCACCGGCUAACUACGUGCCAGCAGCCGCGGUAAUACGUAGGGUGCAAGCGUUGUCCGGAAUUAUUGGGCGUAAAGAGCUCGUAGGCGGUUUGUCGCGUCUGCUGUGAAAUCCCGAGGCUCAACCUCGGGCCUGCAGUGGGUACGGGCAGACUAGAGUGCGGUAGGGGAGAUUGGAAUUCCUGGUGUAGCGGUGGAAUGCGCAGAUAUCAGGAGGAACACCGAUGGCGAAGGCAGAUCUCUGGGCCGUAACUGACGCUGAGGAGCGAAAGCGUGGGGAGCGAACAGGAUUAGAUACCCUGGUAGUCCACGCCGUAAACGUUGGGAACUAGAUGUGGGGGCCAUUCCACGGUCUCCGUGUCGCAGCUAACGCA